AAGGUUUCGUCGAGCUGAAGCCAAGAAAGCCUGGAUGUGUCCAACCUGCUUCGUAGUACAGCCCUCUGAACACCUGAUACACCUGGACACAACUGAACAUCUGAGGCUAAUGUUUAGCAGCACAAACAGUUUUAGCAGAAAAAGAAGAAGAACAGAAAGGAUCGUGCUCCAGCAGCUUCACCGCUUGGACUCCUACUAACACAUGCUGUUUAAAGUCCUACCUGAGCUCCACAGCAGCAGCAGCACCAACAGGUGAUCCAUGUCCAGGUAGACCGUCUCUCUGGCCGUCCGCCUGCUCUCUGCUCUGAUCAUCAUGUGCUGUCCUCAGUGUAUAUCUGCGUACAGGAAGAGGUGGAGCUUUACUGGAACACAGCUCAUUCAGCUGUCUUUAGUUUCACAGUCAAGAGUCCUCGUCUGAGUCUCUGACACAGGGUGACUCAGGGUUUUCUGUCGCCCAUGUUUCCAGUUUGACCAGUGGAUCAGACAGUGGUCACACUGGUGUCCAGUCUGAGUCCAGUUCUCCCUUUGGACUGUGUGUUUGGUUUCUUUUCUGCACAGCAGAAGUGUUUAACUCCAGCAGGACAAAGAAUGAAUGUGGAGAUUGUCCUGAGCUGACGUUAGAGUGCCAGUCCGAAGUCUUCUCCCAGUCCGGCUCUGACUGGUUUCCAGUUGGACAGGAAACUGUCUCUCAGUGCAGGUGUGAUCUUUGACUCCUGUCCUUCAUUUAACCCAGAUUCAUCACUCAGGUCCCUAAAAGCUCUUUGUACAGAUUGUGAAGAACAAGCAGCCUCGUCUUUUCUGUCCGCUUUGUACGACACCUUCUGCUCUACAUGGAUCUGAUGCCGUCGCAGGAUUUGAACCAAAAUUUAUUGAAAUGAUGCUUCACGUCAAACUGACGACUUCGUGUCAGUUAAACUUCAACAUGUUGCUGUAAAAGGUCUCUGUUGUUGGUCCAGUUCUUGGUUGUCUCUCCGUUUGGAGACCCUGGGCCUGUUUUCUGGGGAUUAUUGCAUCUGGAUUCAUCCGGACUUCAUUCCUGCCGGCCUCUUCCUCUCAACAUGUUUGUGUUUCGGACUCCGCUCCAGGUUUUCCUCUCGCCUGCCUGCCUCAUCAUCAUUGGAAGUUCCUCUCUGACGGCAGCACCCGGGGCUUCAAACUGGUUUAGAACUGGU
This is a long non-coding RNA of Micropterus dolomieu (smallmouth bass), 1172 nucleotides long. RefSeq lists it as uncharacterized. The transcript is spliced from 3 exons. Lineage: Eukaryota; Metazoa; Chordata; Actinopteri; Centrarchiformes; Centrarchidae. The record is from RefSeq and is a predicted model, not a curated record.